Molecule: ribosomal RNA, 253 nt
Filed under: uncultured bacterium
Lineage: Bacteria
Description: partial 16S ribosomal RNA
Rfam family: Bacterial small subunit ribosomal RNA
Source: RNAcentral
UACGUAGGGUGCGAGCGUUAAUCGGAUUUACUGGGCGUAAAGCGUGCGCAGGCGGUCCGCUAAGACAGGUGUGAAAUCCCUGGGCUUAACCUAGGAAUUGCGCUUGUGACUGGUGGGCUAGAGUACGGUAGAGGGGGGUGGAAUUCCUGGUGUAGCAGUGAAAUGCGUAGAGAUCAGGAAGAACACCGAUGGCGAAGGCAGCCCCCUGGGCCUGUACUGACGCUCAGGCACGAAAGCGUGGGGAGCAAACAGG